This 536-nucleotide long non-coding RNA is filed under the name Anas platyrhynchos platyrhynchos (common mallard). RNAcentral describes it as "lncRNA (ENSAPLG00000020563.1)". The record is from RNAcentral. Lineage: Eukaryota; Metazoa; Chordata; Aves; Anseriformes; Anatidae.
UGUCUACUUCUGGCUCUGCCAUCCUGCUGCUGGUGCUCUGUGGCAGCAUGAGCUCCCAGGACAUCUGCAGCUCUCCAGGGGAUCUCCCAGCUCCUGCUCUCCAAAUGAACUCAACUUCUGCUCAGCCAGGUACCACAGUUGUGCUCCAGUGUAUUCUCCCUGUGGUGUCACAUACAAGACGAAUCAUCUUCUGCAAGGAUGGGAAGGAGGUGUACAGCCAGGAAGCCCAGCAAGGGCAGCUGAGCUACUUGACAGUCCUGAACAUCACGUCAAGAAGCGCAGGAAGAUAUACAUGUGGGUACCAGCAGAGGAAUGAGAUGAAACAGAGGAGGAGCUCUGCCCUCAGUGCUGGCCGCAUCCUGGAUGUCCCUGGUGAGUCAUGGCCCCGGGCUGGAGGGGUGAGAAGGGACGGAGGCACUUGAUACCACAUGGCUGUGCUGAGGCUGGAGCUGUGUGCUGCAGCAGGCUCUGGGGUGGUUCCCUCACGAGAGUGUUCCCUCUCCUCCAAGGCAGCCCCUACAGAGAGAGAGUUGUUC